Molecule: long non-coding RNA, 593 nt
Organism: Mauremys mutica (yellowpond turtle)
Lineage: Eukaryota; Metazoa; Chordata; Testudines; Geoemydidae
Exons: 3
Source: RefSeq, a predicted model, not a curated record
AAGUAGUCUGCAAUCAUUUCCUGGGACAAGGGAGAUUCACAAGAGCAAAGAAGUCUGUGUCUGAGUAGCUGAGAGGAUGCCUGGUUGGUGCAUGAAAUUCUUGAACUGGAUUUGUCUGUUACUUAGUGAUUGGGAAGUGGCAGCAAUGAGAAGUUAUGGAGUGGUGAGACUGAAUAACAGAAAAGAGAUGACAUUUCACAGCAGGAAAUCAGGAUUUAUGAGGCUAGUUAUAGUGAAGGGAAGAUGGAAAGCUGCACUAAUGAGAGAAUGGAAAGGAACACAGUCAAGAAAGGAGGAUGGUUUCCUGACCCAUGCUUCUGUUGAUGAAACCUGCCAGACAACCUCCUUUGUCCAGCCAACAACCUGAACUGAUGUAGCUUGGCAUGGCCCCACCUCUUCAAUGCAGAGAAGAACCAAUGUUCUUCACCAAUGUUGGGUGUCUGGUCUAUAUCUGUAUUGUAGGGAACCUGGACAUUUUGCCUUGAGCUCUUCUGCCAAGGUUUGAUCCACAUCUUGGUCAGGAAACACCAGGCCCUAGCCCUGAUAGGGGAGUCUAAGCUGAGAUGGUAUUUCUUUCCUUGCUCUCACCUGCA